RNAcentral lists this transfer RNA (74 nucleotides) under Araneus ventricosus. It matches the Rfam family "tRNA". From Rfam's summary of the family: Transfer RNA (tRNA) molecules are approximately 80 nucleotides in length. Their secondary structure includes four short double-helical elements and three loops (D, anti-codon, and T loops). Further hydrogen bonds mediate the characteristic L-shaped molecular structure. tRNAs have two regions of fundamental functional importance: the anti-codon, which is responsible for specific mRNA codon recognition, and the 3' end, to which the tRNAs corresponding amino acid is attached (by aminoacyl-tRNA synthetases). tRNAs cope with the degeneracy of the genetic code in two manners: having more than one tRNA (with a specific anti-codon) for a particular amino acid; and 'wobble' base-pairing, i.e. permitting non-standard base-pairing at the 3rd anti-codon position. Lineage: Eukaryota; Metazoa; Arthropoda; Arachnida; Araneae; Araneidae. The record is from Rfam by way of RNAcentral.
GCCUCCGUGGAGCAAUCGGCUAGCGCGUUCGGCUGUUAACCGAAAGGUUGGUGGUUCGCGCCCACCCGGGGGCG